AAAGAGUAACGGAGGAGCACGAAGGUUAGCUAAUCCUGGUCGGACAUCAGGAGGUUAGUGCAAAGGCAUAAGCUAGCUUGACUGCGAGAGUGACGGCUCGAGCAGGUGCGAAAGCAGGUCUUAGUGAUCCGGUGGUUCUGAAUGGAAGGGCCAUCGCUCAACGGAUAAAAGGUACUCCGGGGAUAACAGGCUGAUACCGCCCAAGAGUUCAUAUCGACGGCGGUGUUUGGCACCUCGAUGUCGGCUCAUCACAUCCUGGGGCUGAAGUAGGUCCCAAGGGUAUGGCUGUUCGCCAUUUAAAGUGGUACGCGAGCUGGGUUUAGAACGUCGUGAGACAGUUCGGUCCCUAUCUGCCGUGGGCGCUGGAGAAUUGAGGGGGGCUGCUCCUAGUACGAGAGGACCGGAGUGGACGCAUCACUGGUGUUCGGGUUGUCAUGCCAAUGGCAUUGCCCGGUAGCUAAAUGCGGAAAAGAUAAGUGCUGAAAGCAUCUAAGCACGAAACUUG
Molecule: ribosomal RNA, 505 nt
Filed under: Kluyvera georgiana ATCC 51603
Lineage: Bacteria; Pseudomonadati; Pseudomonadota; Gammaproteobacteria; Enterobacterales; Enterobacteriaceae
Description: bacterial LSU rRNA
Rfam family: Bacterial large subunit ribosomal RNA
Source: RNAcentral